Molecule: ribosomal RNA, 253 nt
Filed under: uncultured bacterium
Lineage: Bacteria
Description: partial 16S ribosomal RNA
Rfam family: Bacterial small subunit ribosomal RNA
Source: RNAcentral
UACAGAGGUCUCAAGCGUUGUUCGGAUUCAUUGGGCGUAAAGGGUGCGUAGGCGGCGCGGUAAGUCGGGUGUGAAAUUUCGAGGCUUAACUUCGAAACUGCAUUCGAUACUGCCAUGCUAGAGGACUGGAGAGGAGACUGGAAUUUACGGUGUAGCGGUGAAAUGCGUAGAUAUCGUAAGGAAGACCAGUGGCGAAGGCGGGUCUCUGGACAGUUCCUGACGCUGAGGCACGAAGGCCAGGGGAGCAAACGGG